This 365-nucleotide long non-coding RNA is filed under the name Oryza sativa (Asian cultivated rice). RNAcentral's name for it is "long non-coding RNA (OSAT_LNC000942)". Lineage: Eukaryota; Viridiplantae; Streptophyta; Magnoliopsida; Poales; Poaceae. The record is from RNAcentral.
GUGAGUAUUUUACACACGUUUAUCCUCGGUCUGUUUUCUGUUGUUUACAGUUGAACAAUCUUAAUAUCAAUGCUACAGGUUCAUCUUCAGUGCUCAUAUGAAAGCGUUUUUGUUGAUAAAUUCCCAGCACACUUCAUUCUUUUUUCUAUCAUGAGUUCCUGAUGAUAAAAAUGCACACUUCUCAUAUCAAACAUUUUUUUGUAGUACCUGAAAUUGAUUUUACUAUCUGUGGUUCUAUUUCCUGUAGAACAGAGGUGUCUGCAUUUUUUCUCAUUUGAGGAAAAGCGCAUUUUCUGCCUCUGGUAUUAUUAGUCCUAAAGUCUGUAAACUCUGAGGCUCACUAUUUGUUUUCACUGCAUCAGCAC